AGAGUGCGUAAUAGCUCACUGGUCUAGCGCUCCUGCGCCGAAAAUGAACGGGGCUAAGCAGUCUACCGAAGCUGUGGAAUAAAUGAUUUUUAAUCAUGUAUUGGUAGGGGAGCGUUCCGCAACGGUGUGAAGCACUAGCGACAAGCAGGUGUGGACUGUGCGGAAGUGAGAAUGUCGGCUUGAGUAGCGCAAAUGUGGGUGAGAAUCCCACACCCCGAAACCCUAAGGGUUCCUCCGCCAGGCUCGUCCGCGGAGGGUGAGUCAGGUCCUAAG
This 273-nucleotide ribosomal RNA is filed under the name uncultured Isochrysis. RNAcentral describes it as "partial Bacterial large subunit ribosomal RNA". It matches the Rfam family "Bacterial large subunit ribosomal RNA", at positions 1127 to 1395 of the family's 2925-position model. Lineage: Eukaryota; Haptophyta; Isochrysidales. The record is from RNAcentral.